RNAcentral lists this transfer RNA (77 nucleotides) under Pseudomonadota bacterium. RNAcentral's name for it is "tRNA-Trp". It matches the Rfam family "tRNA". From Rfam's summary of the family: Transfer RNA (tRNA) molecules are approximately 80 nucleotides in length. Their secondary structure includes four short double-helical elements and three loops (D, anti-codon, and T loops). Further hydrogen bonds mediate the characteristic L-shaped molecular structure. tRNAs have two regions of fundamental functional importance: the anti-codon, which is responsible for specific mRNA codon recognition, and the 3' end, to which the tRNAs corresponding amino acid is attached (by aminoacyl-tRNA synthetases). tRNAs cope with the degeneracy of the genetic code in two manners: having more than one tRNA (with a specific anti-codon) for a particular amino acid; and 'wobble' base-pairing, i.e. permitting non-standard base-pairing at the 3rd anti-codon position. Lineage: Bacteria; Pseudomonadati; Pseudomonadota. The record is from RNAcentral. RNAcentral also lists the same sequence under 7 other names.
AGGCCAGUAGCUCGAAUUGGUAGAGCGGCAGACUCCAAAUCUGCGGGUUGGGGGUUCGAAUCCCUCCUGGCCUGCCA